GACAGAUUGAUUUGUGAGGACUGGAAAAUACGCCAGCAGCCGGGUUCUCCUCCCAGGCAUUUCCGCAAACACCUUGUGCCCGCUCUAGCUCACUGCUCAUGGGCAUCAACCGAGGACACCUCGGCUGGAGAUUCCGUCACAAAGGCCAAAGGGCAUGGGUUGUAAGAAACAACUAGAGAGUAGAGAUUUGCAUGUAGAGCACGCACCUUUGAGAAGCUCUCGCUCCCGCGCUCCGCCCGGACGGCCUCACGCGCUAAGCCGCCGUCGUGACGCCGUCCAUAUCUGCCGCCCGAGCCCGUACUGGCUCCAAAUGUGAGGCCGGGAAGAGGGUGGUGGGGGGAGGAAGAAGGUUGCGCCACCUCCUCCUCCCGCCGGAGAUGCGGCGUCUCCUCCCCCACCGUGCUCCUCCUCCU
This 413-nucleotide long non-coding RNA is filed under the name Hordeum vulgare. RNAcentral's name for it is "long non-coding RNA (HVUL_LNC017108)". The record is from RNAcentral. Lineage: Eukaryota; Viridiplantae; Streptophyta; Magnoliopsida; Poales; Poaceae.